Molecule: ribosomal RNA, 440 nt
Filed under: uncultured bacterium
Lineage: Bacteria
Description: bacterial SSU rRNA
Rfam family: Bacterial small subunit ribosomal RNA
Source: RNAcentral
GCUAAACGCGAAGAACCUUACCUGGCCUUGACAUGUCCGGAAUUCUGCAGAGAUGCGGAAGUGCCUUCGGGAAUCGGAACACAGGUGCUGCAUGGCUGUCGUCAGCUCGUGUCGUGAGAUGUUGGGUUAAGUCCCGCAACGAGCGCAACCCUUGUCCUUAGUUGCCAGCGAGUAAUGUCGGGAACUCUAAGGAGACUGCCGGUGACAAACCGGAGGAAGGUGGGGAUGACGUCAAGUCCUCAUGGCCCUUACGGCCAGGGCUACACACGUACUACAAUGGUCGGUACAGAGGGUUGCCAGACCGCAAGGUGGAGCCAAUCCCAGAAAGCCGAUCCCAGUCCGGAUCGGAGUCUGCAACUCGACUCCGUGAAGCCGGAAUCGCUAGUAAUCGCGGAUCAGCUAUGCCGCGGUGAAUACGUUCCCGGGUCUUGUACACACCG